CCGCCUGUAGAAUAUAAAUGAAAAGAUUAAUUUGAUUUUACUUCAUUGAAGAAGUUACUGAUUUUGAGCUGCCUUGUUCUGCGCCAGCGGUGUCCCCCGCCGCGCUGGUCGCUGGAGGCACAGCGGCAGGCAGUCGCGCCGGCACCGGCACCGCCCCCGCCCGUGCAGGCACUCCGGGGACCCACAGACGCCGGCACAAAAAGCAGGUAUACCAAGAGAGAGGGAGAAAGGCACUAUUGGCUCUCCCUGCAGCAAAAAAAUUGGCUUGCAACACAACCUCCCUGCAUAGCUCUCCACACCCAUUCCCAGGAAGUAGGCAAAUAUAAAUGCCCAGACAAUUACAACUUGCAAGAACUGCCAGCCAGCUGCUGCUCUGUUUUUUCUCUCCACAUCUAGUGUGAUAACACCUCGGGUCUAAGACCAAAAUGAAAAUGCAGUACAUUUUUGAUACAAGCACCUGGAUAUUAAGUACUGGACAAAGCUCCAGUGGAGCUAGUCUUGCAAAGAACUCAGUGUUGAGCUCAAUAGAGACUUAUUAAUUAUACCAGUAUUGCAGCAGCAUUCCUGAAGGCAAACAAAUGAACAAGAAUACAGACAUCAGGCUAGGAUGAGUCAACAAAAAGAACUGGACAAUGCCAGAAGAAAAAUAAAAAGAAAGAUGAAAGCUGAAUGGAGAAUUGGAGAAUAACGCAAAGAAGAGUCAUGAGGAAAAAAAGUGUCAAAGAAGCGGUAAAAUUUUACUUAAUUCAGUGUCAAGUGAUGCCCUGGGUAUGUGACACAUGGACCUCUAGUGCAGAUGCACAUUCCUGAUAAUGCACAGCCUUGUAACAUUUCGUUCAUCCCAGAGAGGACUUGGGGGAAGAUAGCUGAUAGAACAUGCAUGUCCCACUGGGGAAAAACACAGAUGCUACUGAGGAGUGAGCAAGUUACUGUAAGCAAGUAAUUCAAAUUAGAACUACGUUGCCUUUUUUAGUGGGGCAGAAAUGCACCAAUGCACCAAGUUUAGUUAUGAUGUGCCAAUUUCUCUGAGCAAACUCUGGGGCUUUAAAUCAAUUUGGAGAUCUUUUUGUAUGUAACUGAAAUUUUAACUCACUGUUUCUGUCACUUAAGAGACUAGCCAGAACAAUUUCACUGAAUGUACAGUCAGAAAUUUAUUUCUGUUAUUACUGAUCAAAUUCUGUAAGAUUCCACAUGUACUUGCAUGCUUUUUAAGUUUAUAGAAUUAGAAUUCAGUUGAACUUUUUGCUAUCAAAAGGAAGCUGGAGCAGUUGGGAAUGAUGAUUUAAAAGUAAAAUUCUCUUGUAAUAUAUUUGUAAAAGACUUACUACUGGUUUUGAAAUUCUACCCUCAAAAACCAUUUUUCCUUGCUGUCAUCCUUUAAAGUCUUCCUAUGAAGACCUCUGUAUAAAAUCCUUUUAUUAGUAUUCCCAUUAACUACUAACUUAGCAGUUUCCAAAAUUUUUGUUUAGUUUUCUUUGGGCCUAAUUCCUGGUAAAUCUUACCAUUUGAUAAGCAGAAAGAAGCUUAUACAUGAUUUUGCUUUGAAUCUCCAUAAGAGGAAAUGCAUCCUUUAUUGUGACCUGCUGAACAAAUGCAGUUGAGAAAGGAAUCCAUUAAAAAAGCUGCAAAUCUCUUUUGCCACCUGGCUAAUAUGUCUACAUUCACAAAAGCAAAGAAUAAAAAUGAGAAUGCUAGAAGCGUAAUUCCAGAAGUUGGGAGUUGAGAAAGGUGGUUACAUAGAUGAAUUAUAAUCCUAGUUUGCAAAGAAAGAAACAAUAUUGGUUGUUUAGUUACCACUGUCUAUUUUUCCUUGAUAGUAGAUGAUAAAGUUGAAGAAAAAAAAAGAAGUAACAUUGAGUGGCAGCAGAUCCUAGAAAACAAAUCUAAUCUUUUAUUUAUGGAUGGAAGUUCUUAAAAACAGAACUGUGGUCAAAUGCAAGCUAAAAGACCAAUAUCCAUUUAACCACAAUUAGAUUCCUAGAAAUACUGCUUUAUGGCACUAGUGAAUUAAGAUAAUUUUGUUGUGCCCUAAAAUCACACUAAAAUUAGUACAUAUGCAAGUUCAUUUUGAUAUAUUGCAGCAACAUUUUCUGUUUAGACAACAAGAAGUCACCACAGCAGUGCAGUAGCCCUGGUUACCCUUACUAAGUCCAGUAAAACUGAAGGACUCCUCUCUUAGCUAAGUAUCAGCUAGCCAAGCUAUUGAACAUUUCUUCCAUGUUUUCAAGUCUGUCUUGCUGAGAACAUUUUUACCUUUUAAAUUUAUUGCAGAGAAGCUUGUAAAAUACAGAUCAAAACUGGAGUCAAAACAGCUAUUCUGCUUAUGUUGAAACAUCUAGGAGAUGAACUUUAACUUUUAUAUUCAAAAUAAAAAAAUGGCACUGGAGCUUUAAAACACACUUGCAUACUUCCUUGUACCUUAUCGAAAAAUUUAGUCAUGUGUACAGUCUCUCUCUCCCCCCUUUUCUUUUAACACGGAAUAAUUUUUUUUUGCAGACUCUACUAGCUGAUUCCAAGAAAGCAAAUAAAAUAGAAGGGAAGGUAAUAGUGCUAAAGAGUGUAUUUUCUAGAAAAUCCCUCUUAGUCCCUUUUUAUUUAGUAUUAGGUUUUCUGAGCUUUCCUGUGUACACAUAAAAUUGGUUGCAUUAACUUAAUGUGAGAAAGGAAAAAGUAAGUUUUUAUUCAGUCAUUAAAAUACCUGUUUCCUUUGUUAGGGUCUUAACAGAAGCUAAAGCUAAGAAAUGAAAAAUUCAAAUGUCAAUGUUUCAUCAGUUGAAGCCAAAGAGAGGACAUUAGGUCUGAAUUAUCACUCAACUAGAUUCUAGCUCAAAUUUCACCAAGACUCUGUCUCAUCCCAUUUUUAGUGGCCAGAAAAAAAAAAAAAAAAAAAAAAAAAAAAAAAAAGAAAAGAAAAAUGUUUAAAGGUACUCUUUCCAUUGCCAAAUAUUUAGAGUUUUUGCCAUUAUUUUGUAUUAUCUGGAUCAUACAACCUUUCAACUUUAUGCAUUUUAUAACUUGAAUCUUGGUUUAAAAACAAAGACAAAACUACAGGUUACAAAAGGUAUAUCUAACAACUACACAUUAAUAGCCUUACAAAACUUACUGUUAGCACCAUUUUUAACUGAUAAACUGCAAAAAGGUUUGUCUUCCUCCUCAUCUUGAAGAUGACAAAUAAUAUUUCUCAUGGUUCGAAGCUGAAAUUAGAAGAAACUGGAAAUUUUGGAAAGACUGACUAUGGAAAAAAAUUGAAAACUAGGAGAAAAUUGCAGAUUAUGGAAAACUAGUGGGUAUAUUGCCAAUAAUUACAUUUUCAAUGUAAGAUCACAGUUAAAUAGACAUUAGGGACUUCAUCUGAAAAAACAGAAAAAGAAUUUGCCUAGUUUAAUUUGAUUUUGCAAAUAUCAAAAAUAUGUGCUAUUAUAUCCAGAAAGAUUGAACAGGUAAAAUAAGUUAUAAUUACAAAGUAUUACAAAAUCUUGGAGCAAUAAUUCCUGAACUUCUGUUUAUGACCCUACUUGUAUUUCUUAUAAUUGUAUAUUAUAGAAAAGAGAUCAACGGAAUAUUACUUUAAUUUAGACCAUCUCUGAGUAAGACCUAAGGAGAACUUCUU
Dromaius novaehollandiae (emu) is the source of this 3610-nucleotide long non-coding RNA. RefSeq lists it as uncharacterized. The transcript has 3 exons. Lineage: Eukaryota; Metazoa; Chordata; Aves; Casuariiformes; Dromaiidae. The record is from RefSeq and is a predicted model, not a curated record.